UACAUUUUCUGCUCAAGUGUUGUUUUACACACAGAGACGUACUGUAGGAGAGUUUGAUGACACACAGAGACCUACUGUGGAGAGUUGAUGACACACAGAGACUUACUGUAGGAUGAGUUGAUGACACAGAGGUCUACUGUAGGAGAGUUGAUGACACACAGAGAUCUAACUGUAGGAGAGUUGAUGACACACAGAGACCUACUGUAGGAGAGUUGAUGACACACAGAGCCUACUGUAGGAGAGUGAUGACACACAGAGGUCUCUGUAUGGAGAGUUGAUGACACACAGAGACCUACUGUAGGAGAGUUGAUGACACACAGAGGUCUACUGUAGGAGAGUUGAUGACACACAGAGACCUACUGUAGGAGAGUUGAUGACACACAGAGACUCUACUGUAGGAGAGUUGAUGACACAAAGAGACCUACUGUAGGAGAGUGAUGACACACAGAGACUACUGUAGGAGAGUUGAUGACACACAGAGACCUACUGUAGGAGAGUUGAUGACACACAGAGGCUACUGUAGGAGAGUUGAGACACACGAGACCUACUGUAGGAGAGUUUGAUGACACACAGAGACAUACUGUACGGAGAGUUGAUGACACACAGAGACCUACUGUAGGAGAGUUGAUGACACACAGAGACCUACUGUAGGAGAGUUGAUGACA
Non-coding RNA from Salvelinus sp. IW2-2015, 665 nucleotides. NCBI's taxonomy places the organism in Eukaryota, Metazoa, Chordata, Actinopteri, Salmoniformes, Salmonidae. The record is from RefSeq and is a predicted model, not a curated record.